This 11984-nucleotide long non-coding RNA is filed under the name Trifolium pratense (red clover). RNAcentral's name for it is "long non-coding RNA (TPRA_LNC011795)". Lineage: Eukaryota; Viridiplantae; Streptophyta; Magnoliopsida; Fabales; Fabaceae. The record is from RNAcentral.
AUAGUAUUAGCUUGAUCCUUGAUGCCACUCCAUAUUGAAGAAAACACAUGAUGAUUAAUGAAAUCACUGCCUCUCUUCACCCUACUUCUGAGGAUAUGAGCCCACUGUGUAUCUGAGUUAAGGAAUUCCCAAAAUAGCUUCAAAUUUGAGGCCUGAUUCAGUUUAGCGAAAGACCUAAUACCAAGCCCUCCUUCUGCAAUAGGAGUACAAACUGUGUUCCAAGCCACUGUCACCAUUUUCCUAGUCAAUAAGUCCCCACUCCAGAUAAAAUUUCUCAAAUACCUUUCAAGUUCUUUAAUAAGAGUUACUGGCCAAGAGUAAAUUAUAAUGGAAUAAGUCAGCAUGCUUUGAACCACACUCUUGAUCAAUUGAACUCUACCAGCAUAAGAUAACAUUGAAGAUUUCCAGGAGGCCAGUUUAGAUUUAAUCUUAUCAACAAUUGACUGUAAGUAAGUGAGUAACCUUAGGUUUACCUUUAAAGAUAGGUACACGUAGAUAAGUAAAAGGCAAAGAACCUAUAUUGAAACCAAACAAAUUUGCAAUAUGAUUGAGCCUAGAAUGAGACAUAGAACCUGCAAAAAUGGUUGACUUCUGAGGAUUGAUAACCUGACCUGAUAUCGGAGCAUAUCUUGUAAAAAAGUUUGUAAGAGUUUGAAUAUUAGCAGAUGUCCCUUUACAAAAUAGAAUCACGUCAUCAGCAUACAAAAUGUGCGAAGGGAUAUAGGUAGUUCUAGUUGCUUCAAUAAGUUUUAACUGGCCUGCUACAACUAGCUUUGUUAACCCUAACCUCAGGACCUCCUCAGCAAGACAAAAAAGAAGAGGUGAUAGGGGAUCACUUUGUCUUACACCUCUAGCACACUCAAAGAAGCCCUCAUGCUUACCAUUUACUGAAAUAGAGAGCUUGGUAGAUUUGAGAAUAGUAUAACUUCAUCUGUCACUAGGCUAGGUAUAACUUCAUCAAUAAGACCAUUGUAAGCAACAUUGUUGUUGUUAGAGAAAAGAGUUUGAAAAUGAGUAACUACAUGAUUGGAAAUCAUAUCUGGAUUGGUGAUAACCAAAUCAUCAACUCUGAGGGAAGAAAUUUUCUUGAAACUUUUCUUUACCUUUGCAGUCCUACGAAAAAAAAGAAGUGUUUCUGUCCCCUUGAGCAUGUUCAACUGGUAUCUUGUCACCCUUGGCUUUUUUACAGAUACUCAAAUCCUGUCCAAUACACCUACAGAAGUGACAGUAUUGUGGCAAAUUCUCAUAUUCAAUAUCAACAAAGAAAGCAUAACUAAUUCUUUCGACUAAUACCCUGUAAAGAGGUUCUUUUUUGAGGUCCAUAUCCACCAAAACCCUAACAAAGUGUCCAAAUUCUCUAUCAAAUUUAGACUUGCUAGUGAGUUGAUCAGUAUAAAUAGGAGUUCCCACGCUACUUGCGGUGGCAAAUAAAAUCUUGGGACGCCAGCAUUCUUGUGACAAACCAAAAAUCUUGAUCCAAACUUGGGCUAAUGAGUUUUGUUGCAGACUAGGAUUAAAAUCCUUGUUCCAAGUAAAGAGCUUUAGCAAACCCAACAAGAAACGGAAACGACCCCAACAACAACAACUAACCCUAAAGAAGAACAAGAAACCACGCAUAAACAACUGGGUCUGGGAUGAUGAUGAUGAUGAUGAUCAUAGUAUCUGUGUCCAUCUUAUGUUGGGUUCAUCCUCGUGUAUACCAACAUGUGUUCAUCAAACAAACAACAACAUUAUUGUUGCUGCUGCUGAUGAUGAUCAUCAAUGGGUGAUCAAGAAGGUUCUUGAAAAAAAUGACGUUUGUCUCCAUUUGUGUAGGCUUUUGUUGAACAAAGAAGUCCCUCAAAAAUUCAUUAUUCCUUUCUUGUUGGGUGGUGCUGAAGCUGCUCAGACCAAACAGGGAAUUCAAGAUUCAAGUUCAAGUCCGCAACACCGACAUCAACUUUUGCUGUGUACUUUUGCUUAUCUCAGUUGUGUUGUGUUAGCUCCAAUGAUGUCAACCGUGGAUUGCGGAAAAUCGUAGUUUGUUCAAAUUCCGCCUAACAUGCUAUAGUGAUAUAUGGUUGCUAUAACCACUAUUUGACAACAAUUUGUACUAAACAAUAGCGUAUUAUUGUGUAGCAAUAAGAGUUUGUUCAAAUUCUACUACGCUCUAGCGCUGCUAUUUGACAACAGUCGUUAGCUCCGCCCUUGUUAGCUGUUUUACCUACCUUGGACCAUCAUGUCACUGCAUUCUUUGAUUAUAUUUACAAAAAGGACAAAGGAAAUUUAAACACUAAAUGCUAUGCAUUGUGAUGAUCAUAAAUUAGACCGUACCAUUAUGGAAGAAGAUUCGGGUAAAAUAUGCACUUCUUCGGGAAUAAAAAAAAUUUGAUCUAAUUUUAUUUGGUAUUUUGGAUUUAAUUCUUUGAUUCCUCUAUACUCAAUGAAAUCUUCUUUUUCAAAAAUGGAAUGAAUUCCUAUUCCUAUAGUUGUUCUAUAUUUAGUANNNNNNNNNNNNNNNNNNNNNNNNNNNNNNNNNNNNNNNNNNNNNNNNNNNNNNNNNNNNNNNNNNNNNNNNNNNNNNNNNNNNNNNNNNNNNNNNNNNNNNNNNNNNNNNNNNNNNNNNNNNNNNNNNNNNNNNNNNNNNNNNUUUACCCUUUCCGUCUGGUUUGCACCAAGUUAAAUUCCUAGCUGUCCUUUGUCUCUAGCCCCAAAUCAAUAAAGCUUCCCUGAUUCAGUGAGAGCAAAGGUAUGAGCAUUCCAUUAAAUGAAAUUGGUCAGACUAAUCUGUACCACCCUUUCAUUGAUCUAUUUCAACAUGAACAGCUUUGAAAUUGGUAAAUGCAUCUACUACCUUAGGUUCUGCUACCCAUUCUUCAUUUCCCAUGUCCCAAACAAUUGUGUUGGCCUCGUCCCAAUCUGCAAACGCGGCCAUCCCAACCAACAACAGCGGCGUGCCAAGCACCGCCUGGAACAAGUAACAACCAUGGGUUGAAGGUUUGGCGUCUCAUCGUUUGGAACUGUUUGAUCAAAAAAGGGAACUACUCAUCAGUUCUUGUUUGUUCCGUGUACUAGCUUGCCUCCCAAGCCACACCAACUAGCCUUUAUGAGAAGAAAUACCUUGUGACAUUUGGCUCCACAAGUGAAGCAUUUGUUCCAUUCAAUGAAUUGGCAUGAAUCACAUUCUCAUCCAGAAUACCAUCUAGACUGUCUAACUACCAUAAAUCUGCUUACAAUUAUAUCAAGGUUCACUUGUUUACUUGUUUAGAACUAGCUCUAGGAAUAAUGGAAAAGAAUCAUGGAAUUCUCAGAUACCAAAAGUAAUAUUCUAUGCCAAUAAAUCUAUGAUGUUUGUAAAAUGCAGAAACCAAAUAAGACCAAAAGUAGCACACACCUUAACAUGAAAGGUAUCUUUUGGAAGUUUUGUUGUAAGGAGUCUCUAACACACCAACCGAUUUAACUUUUUCUGCAAGAAUGUCAAGCAAACGUGAACACUCUUCAAUUUUUAAUAGAUAGUUGGAGAUAGCCAAAGUGCUGGCAUAAUCCCCCUAUUAUAUUCACCGUCACCAUUUUCCUCCUUGUGACUACUAUUGCUACUACUGCUAGCAGAAUUGGUAGAAGCCAUUUUGGUAGUUUUCCCCUUGUAAUGAUAACGAUGAUCCUUUUCUUUAAGUCCACUAGACAUCCCUUUCUCUCCUUUCUUAGCUUCACUUUUAUUACCAUGAGAAAUUCAAUUCAGCUUCUAACUGCUUUCUAUAGGAGGUAACUAAAACUGAGCUUUGAAUUCCAGUUACCCUUUGGAUUUAACAGUUAAAACCAGAUUUUGCAUAUCAUAAAACCUUACUUUUCCAUGGCCUUACACUUUAUUUUCUAUCCAUUCUUCUCAAGUAGAUUUGAGGAACUAAAAGUACUUGACUCACAUCAAUUCCAACUCUAACAACUUUAGCCUCAGUAGAUUUUUUAGCCAAAUAUUGUUCCAUUUCUCUUUCACCUGGUUUUGAUGGUCUAAAUAACUACUCCUUUUUUCUCAUGUGAAACCAAACACAUAAAUCCAAGGCUUAUUCUCUCAUCAUCAGAUUCAUCAUCAAUGAAAAGAACACUUUGAUCAGAUAUUUUGAUUCUUAAACCAUCAAAACCUGCCAAAGUCAACUCUCAUAUUUGCAUAAAUCUUGUAAGUAUCCCAAGGCGCAAUCCUCGUGACAAAUGGUGUGACAGACCUCUAAAAAUUGAAUGUAAUCUCCAUAUAAAAGUAUCUCAUCCUUCUCAUUGUCGCGAAGUAACGAGGAACCUUCGGUAACAUUUUUCGUCCAUUUCGUUAUAAGAAUACGUGAUCAUAAUCGAUGCUAUUUUGUCCUGCUUUUUUUUAUGAUAACUUCUCUAAAAGAAUCUCAAGGAAGAUUGAUAUUGCAGGAUGGUUAUAUUUAUAGGAUUGGUGAUAUAGCUUUUUGUUGUUUGUUUUUUCCAUUCUUUGAACGAGGAUAUCUUUUAUCGUCGGUCAUUGCUUUACUGAUCUUUAGGAUCUGAUGUAUAUGAUAGCUAAUCAUUCUUUUCAACUGAGUACCACACCCUAGUCCUUUCCAUUUCUGUUGAUAAUAGAUGUUAGUAUUCCCGCUGUAUUGUAUUGUAUUGCAGGAAAGUUUAAUUUCAUUAGUGCUGAGGGUGGUCGAUCUUGUUGGUGACCGUGAUAUACCUGUUAUUGCAGCUGGAGGAAUUGUAGAUGCUCGAGGUUAUGUUGCUGCUCUAGCACUUGGUGCUCAAGACGUCUGUCUAGGCACUAGGUAUUGAAACAUUUUUAUGUUUUUUCGCUUCAUCCGUAGAAGCCGAUCUGUAGGCUAGUAACUUGCACAAAUGAGUUCCUUAUAUUUUGUGUAUUUCAUCUUAGUUUACUGAUCAUGUAUGGCCAGAGUGUUCACAUUUUUAUUGGGACCAAGUCUAGUCAAAUUUAAUUUGAAUUGGACUUUUUUUCUAACACUAAUAUUCAUGCAAAUGGUCUUGUUUGCAGAUUUCUUGCAACUGAGGAAAGCUAUGCUAAUCCUUUAAACAAAAGAAAGGUAAUCAAACUCGAUGAAACUGAAUACACAAAUGUAUCUGGAAGGGCAAGAUGGCCUGGUGCCCCACGGCGUGUCCUACAGACACCCUUCUUCAAGGAAUGGAGAUCCCUUCCAACCCAUGAAAGUGAAGCCAACAAGGCUGUGAUUGGCCAUUCAACGAUUCACGGUGUGGUAAAGUUAGUGGAAGCCUCUUUGUAGGCUACUGUACUACAACCUUUUUAUCUGAUUAUACUUUUGUCAUUCACCAGGAAAGAGGACAACUACAGGAGAUCUCGAGAGCAUGGUGAUGUAUGCUGGCGAAGGCGUUGGUCUCAUCAAGGAAAUUUUGGCUGCUAGUGAAGCUAGUUGAAGGGGCUCAACUUAUAAUACAACAAAACUUCAAGUAGACUGUCAAAUUUCAAGUAGCUUUGUCAAAUCCUUGUAUGUACAAGAAUGUUUUAUUAAGAAGAAAAAAAGUUCAGUUUGAUGUUUCGAAAUACAUUUUGAAAAACAGUUGGUUGUAGUUAGCUAAGACAGUUAGCGUGAUUCUGUUAUACACAAGUAUAACAUUCGAGGAAUCACCACCUGAAUGAAUCCCCAGUCGAAACAGAACCAGGAUUUUGGGGUGUGAAAGAAUUGGGGUUAAUAAUUUUUGAGAUUCAGCCACAAAAUAAGUAUGAUAAAAUUUAAUAAUAAUGUAAGAAAAUAAGCUACAUAAAUCAUAUUGUAAGAAAAAAAAAACAGAUAAAUCCCAAAGCUAGUUAACAAUGUGUUCAAUAUAUUUACAACAUCAAUAAAAUCAAAGGAAACCAUUAUAAUUAUUAUAAUCAAACGCACAUGAAUUCAAACUCUAAUCAUGAUGAUGAAACAGUUCAAUGUGAUUGCAACUAUAGUUGAGUUAAUGGUUUUGCACAUAUAUAUUGAAACAUAGUCAACAAUUAUUGCAAGAAUCACAAUGUUUCAUUCCUUUUAUGCUUUCACCACAAACAAAUAUGAAGUGGUAUCAUCAUUGUUUAUGACUUUUCCCUUUCUUUGAUUUGUUCUUCUCUUGCAUCUUUUUUUUCUUUUCUUCAGCAGUAACCCAAGUAUAAUCUGGUGGAAUUGCGAACGGGUCUGGAAUAUUUUCUAUCCGACUACUGCUGGAACCUGCCACAGAUGAACUAGGACGGUAUGGAGCUUUUAUCCAUUGAAACCAAGAUGAAGCCGAUAAAUUUGUCGCUGCAGGGCUCUCUUCACCGGAUGCGGAUGGACUUGUAGGCGGCGUUGCAAAUUCAUCUAAUGGCUGUAGUUCUUCAAAUUUUGUAAAAGUGACUAGUACUCUGAUGGUGGGAACCACAGGAAUGGCAACCUGAAUAUGUCAUAAAAGAAUAAUGAGUUUAAAAUCAUUCAUAAAGAAAGAGAUGGAAAAACGUAUGAGAAUGAAAAAAAUAAACAUAUCACGAAUGUUUAAAAAGAACAAGGUUUAAAAAUAAAUACAUUUUAAAGCCAAGAUAUAUAUUAAAUCUAGUCUAUAUACCUAAUUACAUCGGAGAUAUAUACAUGAAAAUAGGAAUAUUUACAUAAAAGGAAAUAAGGGAGAUAGUAUCUCCCUCGAAGAUUCUAUUAAUUACGCCAUAUCUCAACAACAAGGAUAAAAAUUCGUCAAGAGGUUAAACAGCAAAAUACAUAAAAGAACAUGAAAAAUAAAGAAUGCGGCAAAAUUUCUUGAAAUGACAACUUUCUCGAACCUAACUUGCUAAUCACUAAAGGGUGGCUGAAAACAACAUCCAAUCAGAGAGGCAUAACAAAGCAAGAAGCUACUGAAACAAGGAAAAGUAAUUAGAUGUAGCACCAUAUAAUAUCCCCUUUAGAGGAUAUUAGCAAGGUUUCGACAUUACAGCCAGGAGAACAACUUAAAGAGGAUAUUGCUUCCAAAUCAAAGUCACACUGAGACUUUUGCUAAUGUAAUAAGCUCUUAGUUUUUCCAUCCAUUCGAAACUUUUGGUUUUCGGAAACAGUUUAUCAAAAUGAGAUAUAUUCUUUCUCACUACAAGAAAGAAACUUCAAUUACUGCUAGAGAUAAAAUAUCUAACUCUUAAAGCACAUUCCUCUCUGUGAAACAUAACUCACAGACAGAAUAAUACAAACGUCAUAUAUUUUUACAUUACAAAAAACCCUAGUAUAUUUUUUUCUAAAUAAGUUGUUUCAGAAGAAGAAAAAUAAAGGUAAAUACAUGGAUAGAAGAUAAGACAUGUUUCAAUGCAAACAAGAAACAGCAGGAAAAGGACCAAUACGACAAAAUAACAAAAACUUAGACAAUGACAUUAAUCAACUACAGAAGAGCCGUGGAGAAAUGAAAGUCUUGAUUAGCUAGAUUUAAGCUAAGCAGUAAGCACCAUAAAUAGGAAACUGCAAAAGCUUGUUUCAAAUGUAAAACAUUACCAUGUCACAGAAAACAAUUGAUUUUCUGUUUUCAACUCCCUUUUUGAUAAGUUAAAAGUUAAAAUAAAGGAUUAUAUCUAAUCAUAACUCAUAAGUAAUGGGACAUGAGACAGGAAUAAUGCAAUUUUAAAUACAAAUAUCAGGAUUAUAAGGUAUGUGGUAAAAUUUAGAGACCUUUUAAAAUCAUGUAUAGCACCCGAAACAUUUCUACAGUUCAUCUUCUUAGCUUGAAUUUUAUGGCUGCAUCUCCUUAAUAAGCCAAAAUAGAGAUAAUUAUGAAAUUACUAUAAGUUCUUUAUACAUUAUUUUGUAUACCUUACAAUCCUGAUAUUUGUAUUUAAAAUUGCAGUAAGCUAAAUGUUGGGUAGUAAAAAGCUAGCAAGAGAUAAACUAAAAGUGGAAAAGGUGAGGAUGUUGCAGAUGAAGAUCACUAUUCAAUCUUCAGCUCAGAUACUGAAUGUUGAUGAUAUGUGGACUUGAAUUUCAGAUUGAAUUGAACAUCACUAUUCUAUCUUAAACUAAGAUCUAUCCCAAGCACGCACCUACUCUUCUAUUCAGUUCCUCACAAUACACUUAUCUCCUCCCUCUAUCUCUUGUUUUCUUUCCCUUUUAUACCCAUGUUCCAAAUCCCGGACACAUGUCAGUAUUUGACACCGACACAUGUCAGUAUUUGACACCGACACAUGUUAUUAAUUAUAUUCAAUUAUUAUCAAUUUUUCAACCUAUUAUCGGAAUCAACGUGUCAGUAUCAUGUGUGUCUGGUGAACCAGUUGGUUUUUAAUAACAUGCAUGCUAUGCUACAUCAUAAGUAGAGUAAACAACCAAGAAUAUAGUGCUGAAAAAUUUAAGAAAGCAAAAUUGGAAAGUUUAAGAAUUUUACAUAUUCCUACAGUAUUCAUAUUUUAGCAACAUGUGUUAAAUUGAUGAUAAUGAGUACUGACCUUAACAGGAAAAGUUCCCAUUGGAAGUUUUGUUGUAAGGAGUUCCCUUAGUCGACGGAUUGCUUUAACUUUGUUUGCAACAAUGUCAAGCAAUGGCAAUAGUUCUUCAAUUUUUAAUGGAAAGUUUGGGGAAAGCCAAAGAAUAGGCCUCAACCCUUUCUUAUAUUCAUUUUCACGACUUCCAUCCUUGUGACGAUUUCUGCUGCUAUCAGAAGAAGAAGCUUUGGCAUCUUUUUUCCUCCGUAGCUCCUCACCUCUCACAACCUCAACAGAAUGUCUUCCUGGCUUAAUCUGAUUUCUCGAAGGAGAAUCUCCCAAUAAAUCGCUCACCUUUUCAUCUACGCAAAGAGAACUUCUUGGUGGCACAAUCUUCUUCGACGAUGCUUCAUGUUUAGAAUCUUUUUUUCUCCAUCCACCAAACCACCCUUUCUUUUCCUGCUUAUUUUCUCCAUUAUUGCUACUGUUUCCGUCUUCAAUAGGAAUAUCCCUAAAGCUUUGGUGAUGCCCAAUUAUCCCCUCAUCGCUAUCAUUGUUCUGUUCAGACGAAUCCAACUUAAGUGCAUCCUCCAAUUGCCUUCUUUCAUCUUCGGUCAAAAUAUCGUUAAGUUCUUCACUCUCGGUUUCAUUUCCAUUGCAAGAUGAGAAUAACUCGUCAUCUGUCAUAGCUCCAGGAACACCUCUAGAUUUUAUACUUACAACAACAUUGUGCAUAUCAUACACCUUAGCUUUCCAAGUCCCUACCAUUUCUGUUUUCUCCUGGCGCCUCCAAGUCAACUGAGGCAAAAGAACUGCCUGCGUAACAUCAAUACCGGGCCUAAAUAUAUUUGUUUUAGACAUUGCAGCCACUUCUUGCUGAACUUCUUCAUCAUUUGCUGCAAAAGCAGCAUCGUCUAGAGCAUUUAGUACCUCCUUUUCUUUGUGUGAGAUCAUGCAGAGUGAACCAGGUUGGACUUUCCCAUCCUCUGAACCAUCGCCAAGAAAAAGAACACUUUGAUCUGAUCUCUGAAUUCUAAAACCGUCGAAACCAGCCAAAGUCAUGUCAGCCCUUAGAUUCGCACCCCUUUUCCAAAUCUUGUAAGUAUCCGAAGGUGCAAUCCUUGAAAUGAAAGGAAUCACAGAACUCUCAAAAUUGAAAGUAAUCUCCAUAUAAAAGUCUCUCAUCCUUCGCAUAGUCGCAACCAAACGAGGCAACCUUCUACACCAUUUCGCCCAAGCCAAAGGCUGAUAAUGCUUGAUUAUGAUCUUUGCAAUUCGCUCUUCUCUACUGCAAAUAGCUUCUUGAAGAGAACUCCAACCUUGUUCAUUCUGCAAACUCCAAUCUGCACCAACAACCAUAAGCAUUUCAGCAGCCANNNNNNNNNNNNNNNNNNNNNNNNNNNNNNNNNNNNNNNNNNNNNNNNNNNNNNNNAAUUUUACAGCCAAAUGAAGAGGUGUAUCACGAUUCGGUACAUCCCUCCUAUCAAUCACAGCAGAUAUUGCAUCAGCCUUCUCUUCCUCUAAAAUCGAAAUCGCUUCCGUACGAACUUCAGACACAUUACACAGUUUAGGUAAACCCCCAAGUAUCCUCUUAAGUUCAACAUAAUCCNNNNNNNNNNNNNNNNNNNNNNNNNNNNNNNNNNNNNNNNNNNNNNNNNNNNNNNNNNNNNNNNNNNNNNNNNNNNNNNNNNNNNNNNNNNNNNNNNNNNNNNNNNNNNNNNNNNNNNNNNNNNNNNNNNNNNNNNNNNNNNNUCCACAGCACAAACAAAAGGGUACCUAUACCUAUAUCUAUAUAACCAAAAAAAAUUAUUUUAAAAAAACCAUUUUUAGAAUCAGAAUGAAAAAAGCAUAACAGAAAAUGAAGAAAGAAAGAAAAGCAUGAUGUGGGGUCAGAGAUCAAGAAGGUAUAGUAAGUAACUAACCUUUGUUCCUUUCUUCCAACGAUGUUUUUGUUUGUCCAAUGAUUAUUUAUUAAUUACUCCAAAAAAAUGAAGGUUAGUAAAAAUGAAACAAACCCCACCACACCACACAGCACAGCACAAACAAACCUUUGAAGUAAGAAACAAAAAGGGAAAAUAGCAAAGAUCCUUGUGAUCCAAUCCAGAUCAGACAAGCAUGGAGAGAACAUGCAUAUGAAUGCGUGAACAAAAAAUUCUAUAAUAAAAUAAUCAAGAAAAUAUUAUUAUAUUAUAUUAAAAAUAAAAAAGGAAAAAUUGAAAAAACACAAGACACAAGAAAGAAGAAAGUGUGAAGAGAGAGAGAGAGAUCUAAGAAAGAGAGAAAAACCCCACAAAGAGAAAGAUCAAAAAGAAGAAAAGGGAAAGUUGAUUGAUUAUGUUGAGAAAGGUAUAUCUAACUAAAAAUGGAUAAAGAAGUUUCGAAGUGAAAAAGAGUUAAAAGAAAGAUAAUUGCGAGGAAAAGAGAAAAGAAAAGAAUAUCGGUGGUGGAGUCAAAGGUUUAUAAAAUCGUGUCGUGUGUGUAUCUAACACCAUGUAUGUAGCAUUUACAACAACAUUAUUCAACACAAAAUAAAAUAAAAUAAAAUAAAAUAAAGACCAUAUAAGAUUAUUCAGCACAAAGAUAAUAUAAAGACCAUGUACAAAGAAAUUUCUAAGUCAAUUAUUUUAUUAAAUGAAACAAUAUUAUAAGUCAUUAGUUGAUUUAGUGGUAAUUGUUGCUGAACUAACUAUGAUUCGAUCCCUGCAACUAUGAUCGGGAAUGGCUGAAAUGUCAGAACUGACACCGAACCAGAUUAAAUUGGUGGCGAAAGAAAAAAAAUUAUAAGCUCUCAAAUUUGGAAAAAGAUUUUUUUUCGUCAAAAAAACCAAUUUUGUUUCUAUUUGGUCAAAAAAUCAUUUUUUGUGGUCAAAAAAACUUUUUUUCUUUUUGGUCAAAAAAUCAUUUUUUGAUUUGAGUUUUUUUUUUUGAAGCAUUUUGAUUUGAGUUAUUUGACUAAUUUUAGUUUUUUUUUUUUUAAGCAUUGACUAAUUUUAGUUAUAAUUUGAAAAAACAUGUGUUAGGAAAUUGUAGGAGUUGAACAUUGUACUUUCUUUUUGUAUAUAUAAUAUAAAUUAAAAAAAAUUAAUAUUUUAAUCUUUAAAUGAGACGAAAAAGUUGUGAGUUUUGUAAUUUAUAUUGAUUAAUAUAGUAAUUGAAGUUGAUUUAGUUAAUUAUAAAAAAUAAAUUGAUUUAGUUAAUAAGAAGUUGACUACGUCUAUUAUGGAGUAUUUUUGUACGGACAUGCGUUCAAUUUUUUUUGUCAAGUAGUCUGACGGCUAAAAAAUUUAGUGAAUAAGUGAGUAUCCGGAGUUCGAGCUCCAACUCCUGCACAUAUAGUGUGAUGUUCCUGCCAGCUGAACUAUGUUCAUGGUGACUAUUUGAUUUUAUUUUCACUUAAUGAGUUCAAAUUUCAUUAGUGAAUAAUUUGUGAGUACAUUUGUAGGCUAAUGCUACGGUGGACCACCUUCACAAGUGGUCCACCGUGAACAAGUGAUCUACCGAUUAUGAAUUUUACGAAAUUCACUAUUGGAUUGAAAGUUUAUAUCGUAUAGAUCAUCCAUAAAUUUUUUUGAAAAUCAUUUGAUAUGUUAUUGAGACCCAUCAAGAUUUACGUUAUUUAAUAAACCGUUAAUCUUGA